ACUCAAAGGAAUUGACGGGGGCCCGCACAAGCAGCGGAGCAUGUGGUUUAAUUCGACGCGACGCGAAGAACCUUACCCGGACUUGACAUGUGCCUGACCGUCCUGGAAACAGGGCUUCCCUUCGGGGCAGGUUCACAGGUGGUGCAUGGCUGUCGUCAGCUCGUGUCGUGAGAUGUUGGGUUAAGUCCCGCAACGAGCGCAACCCCCGUCGCAUGUUGCCAGCAUUCAGUUGGGGACUCAUGCGAGACUGCCGGUGACAAACCGGAGGAAGGUGGGGAUGAGGUCAAGUCAUCAUGCCCCUUAUGUCCGGGGCUACACACGUGCUACAUUGGCGUAUACAGAGGGCUGCGAUACCGCGAGGUGGAGCGAAUCCCUUAAAGUACGUCUCGGUUCGGAUUGCAGGCUGAAACUCGCCUGCAUGAAGGUGGAGUUGCUAGUAAUCGCGGAUCAGCAUUGCCGCGGUGAAUACGUUCCCGGGCCUUGUACACACCGCCCGU
This 497-nucleotide ribosomal RNA is filed under the name uncultured bacterium. RNAcentral's name for it is "partial 16S ribosomal RNA". It matches the Rfam family "Bacterial small subunit ribosomal RNA", at positions 899 to 1397 of the family's 1533-position model. The record is from RNAcentral.